This 6531-nucleotide long non-coding RNA is filed under the name Sus scrofa (pig). RNAcentral's name for it is "lncRNA (ENSSSCG00060044038.1)". Lineage: Eukaryota; Metazoa; Chordata; Mammalia; Artiodactyla; Suidae. The record is from RNAcentral.
CCAUACCUGCAGCAUAUGGAAAAAUUCCCAUGCCACAGCGGCAACCUGAGCCACUGCAGGGAUAAUGCCUGAGACUUAACCUGCUGUACCACAGGAGAACUCCCACAGUUCCUCAUUUAGUUAUCUCUCUGCUUUCAGCUUGCUGUUUUAUUUUUGUUGAGAAUGGAUAGAAGGCUUGAGGAUUUUCCUUGCCUUUUUUUUUUCUUUUUUUGGCCACACCCAUGGUAUAUGUUUGUUCCUGGGCUAGGGAAUGAAUCUGAACCACAGCUGCGACCCACACAACAACCGUGGCAAUGCCAGAGCCUUAACCCACUAUGCCAGGCCAGGGGUCAAACCUGAGCUGCUGCAGAGCCAACACCGGACAAGUAACCUGUUGCACCACAGUGGGAACUUCAGAUUUUCCUUACUUUCUUGAAAGCUCCACAAUGCAUUUAAAACUAUAUUUAUGUAUAUAUAUGCCAGUGUCUAGGUGUUCAGCUAUGGGAGAGACUUUUCAAAAAUAUCUGGCUUGUUGGGCUGCCAGUAAAUAAGUCUUAAAAAGUUUAACUUUCAAAACAUUUUUGGUUACAAAAGAAAAAAAAAAAACAAAAAAACAAAAAAACCAGAGUUCCCACUGUGGCUCAGCAGGUUAAGAAUCCCACUAGUAUCCAUGAGGAUGCAGGUUCAGUCCCUGGCCUUGCUCAGUGGGCUAAAGAUCCAGCAUUGCCAUGAGCUGUGGUGUAGAAUGCAGAUGUGCCUAGGAUCUGGUGUUGCUGUGGCUGGGGCGUAUGCCAGUAGCAGCAGCUCCGAUUCCACCCCUAGCCUGGGAACUCCCAUAUGCUGCAGGUAUGGCCCUAAAAAGGAAAAGAAAAAGAAAAAGAAAAAAAUCCUCAAGAUUUCUUACUAAGUGUAAAAUCCCUAGUGAUUUGAAAGUUGUGAAGAUAACAAAAAUGAUGGUAAGCAAAAUUUACUGUGUAUCGAACUAUUUGCCAGGCACUGUAUAUAUGUUGCCUCAUUUACCCUAGGAAUUAGGUAAUAUUAUCUCUAAGCUACAGGUAAAAAACCUGAGAUUUUGAGAAGGCAAGUAAUAGGGUUUGUCUGAUAAUAAAUUUUUAUGUGCUUUUUUUCCCCCACUAAGCUGGAUUGCCUUUCUAUCCAAGAUCUGCCAUCAUAGAAGAUGGAAACAUUUGAAAAAUGUUAUCAGCUAUACUUUGCUUUCAGGUGGCAGACUGAUCAGAGAUCAACUUGGAAGUACAGUAUCUUCAUUUCUUAAAAGUGUAUCAAAUUUGAUCAACAUCUGGCAAUCUCUUCAAAACAUCAUGGAUCAAAGAAAUAGACAAAAAUCGGAAGCCUUAAACACUCAAGGUAAGAAAGAGCUGUUUCCCAGUCAUUCAAGAAUAUUAGGUAAGUUCCAGAAGCAAUAUAUUUGUUUGUUUUGUGCUUCUUUAUUCACUACCAUCUAUCAAAAAGAAUUUAGGAUAGCUGACAAAGAUGUAUAAAAUCCAAUAUAUAAAUUAGAAAUAGGUAAGGGGGUAAGAAACAAGAAGAAACAAAAAGGGAAAACAAAGGAAUGAGACUAAAAUUAAAAGGUAUACCAUUGAGCCGCUUCUGAGGCAGGUGGCAAAUUUGACCCUAAACUUUCUAAGGUCAACUUUAAAAGGGCUGCUUGAGUAGUUAUGAGUCACCAUGUGUAAAUAAUAAAAAAACAAUCCAACUGCUAAGAAGCACAACUAUGACUGAUUUCCAUCAAAAGGAUCAAAAGUUACUCAAAAAACUUCAUAGAAAGGGCAUUGUAUAAUGAAAAGAACAACACUGAGAUCAUACAACUGCAGUAUUUCUUGAGCGUGAAAGGGGAACUAUUAAAUAUUAUGCUGGGACAAUAAGUGUAAACUGGGACUCUCCCCACAAAAUCAAAAUUUGACUUACCAUGUUGUAUUCAUUUCAGGUGUACACCAGAGUAAAUCAGUUAUACUUAUACAUAUAUCCAUUCUUUUUAUAUGUAAUAACAUAUAGGUUAUUAAAAACUAUUGAGAUUUCCCUGUGCUAUAUGGUAGGUUCUUAUUAUCUAUUUUAUACAUUAGUGUGUAUAUGUUAAUCCCAUCCUCUCACUUCCUCUCUCCCUUCUAUGGUUUCCCAUAUGGUAACCAAAAGAUUAGUUUUGAAAUCUCAGUUUGUUUCUGUUUUAUAAAUUUUUUUUGUAUUAUUCUAAUAAAAAUAAUACAAAAAAAUUAUUUAUAAAAGAGAAACUGAGAUUUCAAAACCCAUCCUAUUAAUGGUUAACAAUAAUUAAUUUUACUUCAUUCAGUAUGAAAACCUCUUGGUCCCUCCAUGUUGCUGCAAAUGCCAUUAUUUUGUUCUUUUUAUGGCUGAGUAAUAUUCCAUUAUAUCUAUAUACCACACCUUCCUUAUCUAUUCAUCUCUUGAUGGACAUUUAGGUUGUUUCCAUGUCUUAGCUAUUGAAAAUAGUGAUGCAGUGAAUAUUGGGGUGCAUGUAUCUUUUUGAAAUAUGUUUUUUUACCACUACAUGUAUUAUGAAGAUUUUUUAAAUUGCAUUCCUCAAUAAAAGCCAGUGAUUGCACACAAAAUAGUAAUUCAGUGAAAGCAGCUCUGAGGUUAACAUAAUAUGGUUGCUUAUAACUUUCAGUUGAUCUAGUUGACUGGUCAUAUUAGAGCAUGGUGGAGCAGGAGUAAACUCAAAUGGCUUCAGCAGUGAGCAAAUUAACAUAAGAUCAUCAAGUAGCCAGGUGUAGACUAAGAGAGAAUGAUUAGUGAAGAAUACAUUUUAAAACAAUAUUUUGGAAAACAAAAUCCACCCAUAGGUUUAAUCUAGUUUCCAACUAAGUGAAUGACAGCUGGCAAUAAUGGCAUAUCCAUAUAGUAUGCUUAUUUGAAUGCCAUCUGCACUCAGAAUUACAUAGACAUUUUUAAGCAUUUGCCAGACCUUCAUUUUUCAACUAAUUCUUGCUUGUGUCUCUUACUAUGUUGAAAAUAUUUAGAAGGGUUUUUAUUUAAGUUUGAACAAUUUCUGAAUUAAUUUUUAAAUUUUAUUUAAGUAGCACAUUCUUUUGAACAGUAAUCAUUACUGACUCAAAUUUUCCUCUGGGAGUUCCCUUGUGGUGCAGAGGGUUAAGGAUUAGUUGUCAUUGUAGUAGCUCUGGUCACUGCUCUGGCACAGUGUGAUCCCUGGCUCGGGAAAUUCCACAUGCCACCGGCAUGACCAAGAGAAUUUUUUUUCCUCUGACUCUGGCUGCUGGAGAAAUGCUUUUUCUUGGUCUUUCAGUAUGAAAGAGCUAUUUUAAAAAAUAGCUCAUGCAAUCAGAGGCUACAUUAGUAAAAGAUUAAGAUUCUAAACAAGGGAACUGACAGUUGAAGGGAGACAGCAGUCUCACCUUACACUGUGCUGGUACAGAUCCUUGUGGGUGCCUCAGUUACUACAGGGAGACACUGACAAAGCAUAGAGACACAAAAGGCAAUGCUGCCAUUUCCCAUGCUUUCUAGGUGUCUCCUCUUUUCAAUAGAACUUUUCAAGCUCCUGCACCCCAGCCCUGCCCCUUCUCCCCUUGUCAACUCUUAAAAGAUGACUUGGUCUCAGAAACAUCAUCAAAUAAUUCAGGUUCACUCUCUCUUUUUGAUGUGCCUGUGUCCACACAGCUCUAGCUGGUAGAAGAGCUGUCCUUCCUCCUAUUUAAGACAUUUUUUCCUCCACAGGAUGUCACCUCCUCUGCCCUCUCAGGAAUCCUUUUUUAUUAUCUACUUACAUCCUAUUCUAUAUCUUCAACCCUCCCUUUCUCCAGAUUCUUCCCUGUGGACAUAAAAAGGAAGUCAAGGAUUUCCCAUCGUGGCUCAGCGGUAAGGAACCCGACUAGUGUCCAUGAGGACUCUGGUUCCAUCCCUGGCUUUGCUCAGUGGGUUAAGGAUCUGGCAUUGCCAUGAGCUCUGGUGUAGUCUGCAGACAUGGCUCAGAUCUGGUGUUGCUAUGGCUGUGGUGUAGGCUGUAUUUUGACCUCUAGCCUGGGAACUUCCAUAUGCUGCAGGCGCAGCCCUAAAAAGACUGAAAAAGAAAAAAGAGAAAAGAAUUAUCUUUGGGAGUUCCCUGGUGGCCUAGUGGUUAAGGAGCUGUUGGUGUCACUUCUGUGGCACAGGUUCGAUCCCUGAUAGGGUUUUUCAUAUUCCCUGAGUGCAGCCAAACAAAACAUUAAAAAAAAAAAUUACCUUUGAUACCAUCUCUUCCUUUUCUCCGGCUCAGCUAUAUUUAAUUGGUCACUACGUCCUAAUUCUCACUUGAAAUAGUCUUCUGACCAGCUUAAACAACUGACUUAACCUGAAUGCACCAUGCUGUCCUGUCUCUUUCCCUUGCCUCUUUCCUGGUACCCUUUGCAUUCCCACUAUUCAGUCCUGCAAUGCGGAGCUCAGAUGUCUCCUCCUACAGCAUGUUCCCUAGCCUCUCUAGCCAAGAUUAGGUGUUCCUCUGGUAUAUUCCCAUAGCACUCUGUGUUUACUUCAUUCAUAUCAACACUGCAACUGCUAAUUUGCUUAUUGGGAUCCCUCUUUAAAUGUAGGAAAACAAUAGCUCACAUUUGUCAAAAGCUGUGUACCAGGCUCUGUAAUAAGAGCAUCCAAAGCAUUAUUCAUUUAAUCCUCACAAUAAUCCCAAGGAGUAGGUAUAAAUACUACCCUCAAUUCCUAGGGAUAGAAACUGAACUCAGCUUAAACAACUUGCUCGAUGUUGCAGAAUUAUGUCCUAACCUUCUUGAGGGUAAAGGUCAUGUCCUAUUUGUCUAUGAAGAGAACUUGGCAUAUUAUGGCACUUGCAGUUCCCCAAUAAAUGUUUAUGGGUCAAAUAAAUACAUGAUGAGCUCAGAGGACAAAACUGGGAUCAACUAACAGAAAUUUUAAAAGAGGCAGAUUUGGGAGUUGUCUUGUGGUGCAGUCGGUUAAGGAUUCAGCAUUAUCACUGCAGUGGCUUGUGUUCCUGCUGUGGCAUGGGUUUGAAUCUUGGCCCAGGAACUUCCAAAUGCCGAGGGUGCAGCCAAAAAGAAAAAAGAAAAAGGAUUUUAUAUUAGCUAGGGCUCUCCAAUGGAACUGAUCACUCAGAAAAGUUAACAUGUAGCACUUAGCACACUGAAGAGUAUUUAUACAUUUGCACGUUCCCCCUUGUGACUAGGGGCUUUAUCUUUGCUUUCAUUCCUCAGAAUCUAGCCAAGGCCUCAAGAUGCUCAGUAGGUGCUCACUGAAUGAAAUGAAUUGAAUUGGAAGGCCCUGAAAACUAAAAAGUGAAUAUUUGACCUUAAUAUCAUUCAUUGGAAGUUAAACCCCGCUGUUUUUUUUUAUUUCUUCCCAUUAGUCUGCCUUUUCUUUCCAAAGAGCUUUGAGAAUAAAGAGAGGACAGGGAAAGCGUUUAGAGACUUUGUAAAAUUCUACCAGACUGUAAGCCCUGUGAGGGUAGGGAAAUUAUCUUUUAUCACAUUACCUCCAUAGCCUAGCACAACAUAACUGUUUAUUUGUUGGAUCACACAAACACACACACACACUCUCUCUCUCACACCCCCCCCCCCCCAGUGUGUGCUUUAUUCUUAGAAGAGUCCCACAGAACCAUAUGCCACAUAAGUGACUUCUGCAUCAGGUAGGGGACUGGACCAGAUCAGUAAUGUUAUGCUGAAAAACUAGUGUAAUUAUAUACUUUGGAUCCCAAACAUGAGAGAAAUGGAGAAGGCAAGGGAGGAUAAAAGCAUUAAAUUCCAACUGUCAUUCUGAACAUUGAGAUAAGACUCAGAGUAAUAAAAAAAUCUUCCUUAAAGAUCCACAGACAGGUAGUAAAGAAAUAGCGGGCUGCAUGACCUCUAAGGUCCCUGCUAAAUUUAGUAUUAUUUGAUUUUCAUUUAUUGAUCCUAAACAUCAAGUUAAGAGCCUAUACUUCAAGACACUGUUUAGAUCUAGAGUUACUAAACAUUAUUCUGGGCACUGAGGAGUCAGCUGUAAAAAAAGAGAGAAAUUCUUAACUUCAUGGUGUUUACAUUCUAAUGGAAGGUGGGUGUGGGAGGCAAAUGAGAUUUUAGUGUCCCAAAAAAGAUAGCAAGAGGCUAGGAAGUGGCAAAAUUAAUGGGACAGCAUUCCAAUGGUUAUAUCUUCAAGGGCUGGUUAGGUCAUAGGUACUACUCAAAGGGCUGGAGGGCAAUUCUUGGCAGUAAUUCCUUAACACUUUAAACAUCCAUUCCUUCCUCAAUGUCCUGUUAUCUCAAUUCCCAUCUAAAUUGAUACCAACUGCUUGCUACCACUUCCUCAAGGUAUUUCUUCUCCUCAGAUAAAAAACUAACUAUAAUUUUCUCUUAGGUAUACUAUCAAUCAUUUAUUCUUUUUAAAAACGUUCAAAAAAUCUAUGAAGAAGCAUAUGUCAAUUUUAUCACCUAAUUUUCUUUCCCGCCUCUAGCGCUCUCAAGUCUAUUGCAAACUCUUCUAAGUCUUCAUUAGCUUUUCCCUCUCAAUUCCUUUAAUAAACCAAAAUAACUGCUUUCCAUGUUUACCAAGCAAUCCUACCUAUCUCCUUGUUUUAAA